AGUGAACGCUGGCGGUAGGCCUAACACAUGCAAGUCGAACGGCAGCACAGUAAGAGCUUGCUCUUACGGGUGGCGAGUGGCGGACGGGUGAGGAAUACAUCGGAAUCUACUUUUUCGUGGGGGAUAACGUAGGGAAACUUACGCUAAUACUGCAUACGACCUACGGGUGAAAGCAGGGGAUCUUCGGACCUUGCGCGAUUGAAUGCGCCGAUGUCGGAUUAGCUAGUUGGCGGGGUAAAGGCCCACCAAGGCGACGAUCCGUAGCUGGUCUGAGAGGAUGAUCAGCCACACUGGAACUGAGACACGGUCCAUACUCCUACGGGAGGCAGCAGUGGGGAAUAUUGGACAAUGGGCGCAAGCCUGAUCCAGCCAUACCGCGUGGGUGAAGAAGGCCUUCGGGUUGUAAAGCCCUUUUGUUGGGAAAGAAAAGCAGCAGGUUAAUACCCCGCUGUUCUGACGGUACCCAAAGAAUAAGCACCGGCUAACUUCGUG
This 492-nucleotide ribosomal RNA is filed under the name uncultured bacterium. RNAcentral's name for it is "partial 16S ribosomal RNA". It matches the Rfam family "Bacterial small subunit ribosomal RNA", at positions 29 to 507 of the family's 1533-position model. The record is from RNAcentral.